UUGGGUGACGAGUGGCGGACGGGUGAGUAAUGUCUGGGGAUCUGCCCGAUAGAGGGGGAUAACCACUGGAAACGGUGGCUAAUACCGCAUAACGUCGCAAGACCAAAGAGGGGGACCUUCGGGCCUCUCACUAUCGGAUGAACCCAGAUGGGAUUAGCUAGUAGGCGGGGUAAUGGCCCACCUAGGCGACGAUCCCUAGCUGGUCUGAGAGGAUGACCAGCCACACUGGANCUGAGACACGGUCCAGACUCCUACGGGAGGCAGCAGUGGGGAAUAUUGCACAAUGGGCGCAAGCCUGAUGCAGCCAUGCCGCGUGUAUGAAGAAGGCCUUCGGGUUGUAAAGUACUUUCAGCGGGGAGGAAGGCG
RNAcentral lists this ribosomal RNA (366 nucleotides) under Pantoea sp. Its description in RNAcentral is "bacterial SSU rRNA". It matches the Rfam family "Bacterial small subunit ribosomal RNA", at positions 84 to 453 of the family's 1533-position model. The record is from RNAcentral. Lineage: Bacteria; Pseudomonadati; Pseudomonadota; Gammaproteobacteria; Enterobacterales; Erwiniaceae.